UACGUAGGGGGCAAGCGUUAUCCGGAUUUACUGGGUGUAAAGGGAGCGUAGACGGCUUUGCAAGCCAGAUGUGAAAGCCCGGGGCUCAACCCCGGGACUGCAUUUGGAACUGUGUGGCUAGAGUGUCGGAGAGGCAGGCGGAAUUCCUAGUGUAGCGGUGAAAUGCGUAGAUAUUAGGAGGAACACCAGAGGCGAAGGCGGCCUGCUGGACGAUGACUGACGUUGAGGCUCGAAAGCGUGGGGAGCAAACAGG
Molecule: ribosomal RNA, 253 nt
Filed under: uncultured bacterium
Lineage: Bacteria
Description: partial 16S ribosomal RNA
Rfam family: Bacterial small subunit ribosomal RNA
Source: RNAcentral